ACAGGAAAAUGCAGAAGUGUGACAAGUGCUGUGAAGUAGAGCUACAGGGGAACCAAAGACCUGGAUGUCCAGGAGAUGGAGACCUGCUCUGAAGGCACGGAGGCUAAUGAGGACCAAAGGCACAAUGAUGCAGAGGCAGCUCUCUUCCUGUGGAAGGGCCUUAAGGUUGCCACUACGAGAUGGCGAGAGAAUUUUCUCAAGGCUUUCCUAUGCAUGGAGAGAACUAAGAACCUGCCUUCACUGUGAAUUUCUAUGGAGUGAAGUUCUUCUCCAACUCAAACUGCACAAGAGAUUUUCAAUUCCUUUCUCCUGGAAGCCCCCUGGCAGGCCCAAUCUGCAUGACAUGUAGUGUCGCGGUGGGAAACAGGCAGAUGUGAUCCAGAGCAUGUUUGACUCGCUAGAACAUCUUUCCAUGGUGUAAGGGCUAAUGAGCUCAUCUUUGGGUCUGCCAACAAAAGAGGCCCACGGAGACAUCCAAGUCAGCUGCAAUCCACUAGUCACAGAGGAGGAAGAUGCCAGACACCAGCAUGGCCUAUGAACGCCUGCCAGGCAGCCACAGGAAAAGGAAACCAGCUAACGCUGGGAAAGCAGCCUUACUUCUUUGGUCCAUCUAACCACAAGCUCAUCUCACAAGUAAGCUCUCAAUGGAAGUAACAAGAAAAAGACUUCUAAAGUUUAUAUUCAUGACAUCAUAAUCUGUAUGAUUAUGUGAAUCUGUAAGAUUUGUCUUAGGGCUAUACUUUUAAUUUUUCAUCAGGUAUUUUUUGAAUGUCUACUAUGGGCCAGUCCCUAUGCUAGGUGCAGGGGAUAGAUCAGUCAAAAAACCCUGCCCACAUGUGGGUCUAAGACUGAAACAGCAUCCAAAUUUACACUAGCUUCCUCCUAUUUACCAACCUGAGCCCCCUUCACCUCUCUGUCCCCUUGUCUAUUCAGGAGUUAGCCAAUGAGGCUUCAUCUUGGGUCCACCAAGUGCCUGGUACUGUGCUGGCAGCUCAGGUGUUCAUUUUAAGAUAGUUCAUAGUUACCUAGGAUGGUGACGUACACUUUCUAAGUGUGUGAGUGACCAUUAUGGCUGCUGUGCUUUCCAAUUCACCCAGCGUUAGUGAAUAGCUCUUAAAAGGAUGAAACUAAUGAUUACCUGCUGAUGCUGGAUAAAGGGAGUAAGAGAUGGCAUUAACCCCCACCAAAACCACAGCACCGCCAUAAUACCUGGCCUCUUAACAGAACUUCAUAAUUUUCAAAAUGCCUUUUCAAUUAUUGGUUGCUUAGAGCUCUGAUGGACCUUCCCAAUAAAAACUGAAAGCCAACCAGAAAUCCAGAUGAAUUUCAAAAUACGUGUUUUGGAUGCUAUGUGUGAUGCCAUCUAGUUGGGCAUGGGAAAUCUACCAAUGAACAAGAGAGUCAGGACUCCUGUCCUCAGGGAUAUGGAAAGGAAGACACAGAAUGCUGACACAGCUACUGGUCUUGGAAGGCUCAGGAAGCUUUUCUGGGGAAGCCAAGUCUGUGUUUGGCCCUGACAUAGGACCUCAGUGAAUAGAAGAGGUGGGGAGAAGAUUUCCCGCUGCUGUGGUGAAUGUUAGUUUCCUAUUGGCCAUAUGACAGGCUGAACAUCUGUUCCAUUGUCUUUGGGGACAGUGACAGAUGUUGGAAAGAGCAGGUAAUUCUGCAUAUUACAUUAUAACCCAUUAAGGCAGCUGGUUAGAUGAAAGAGUCUGGCUUUAUAAUCUCUUUCUGUCCAUGAAGUAACCACGUAGUCACCUUUCAGCUGGAACCCCAUUCUAGGGCUCAACUGCUUGGUAGCCAGUGACUGUUUUUGUUCCAUAAUUUUACUUUUAUUUUUUGAUUAUGAACACAGUAAAUGAUCAUUGUUUUUAUGAGGUGAGGGAAAGUAGAAAAAUGGAAAGAAGAACAAAGAAAUAAACAGUAAUGUUAUAAUCCACAGACUAUCAUACUUUUCAUUUGGGAAUAUUUCUAUUCAUCAUUUUCCACUGAUACAGAAAGUCAUUCCUUCACAUCAAUAACUGGGCUCCUUAUGGGUGGGUAGGGUGAGGAGAAGAAGGAGGUCACAUGAUGGUAGAUUCAAGUGCUUAUCAAGGCACUAAAAUUACUGGAGAGUUUUGGUUGGUUUUCAGUUUCUAGGGAUAGUCCAUGCUAUGAAAGUUUGUAAGCACCAUGAAAAUCUGAGCUAUGUGUAAAUAUAUCAUUAUUAUUUCUCACAAUGACUUUCGAGGUAGCAAUAUUUUCUCAUUCUUGCUUUACAAAGGAAUAAAUUGAAUAACAGAGACUCAAUAAGUCAGUGGGUCAUAGGUCCAGGCACCUUUCUGUGAAGGGUUCCACUUACCUCCCCUCACUGACUCCGGGUCCCAGGAUGGUGACCAGUUCAGGAGCCACUCCUUAAGAAUGCGAUUUAAUUAAACAGAAAUAAACAGAAGUGGUUUAAUUAAAUUUGAUUGAGACUUUAUAAGGAGAGUGGGUGCUAUUGACUAUAUGACCUUUGUUCUGUUAGCCA
This is a non-coding RNA of Microcebus murinus (gray mouse lemur), 2509 nucleotides long. Lineage: Eukaryota; Metazoa; Chordata; Mammalia; Primates; Cheirogaleidae. The record is from RefSeq and is a predicted model, not a curated record.